AACGAACGCUGGCGGCAAGCUUGACACAUGCAAGUCGAACGGAUCACUUUUGUAGCUUGCUACAAAAGUGGUUAGUGGCAGACGGGUGAGUAAUGCAUAGGAAUCUACCCAAUAGUAUAGGAUAGCCUUUGGAAACGAAGGGUAAUACUGUAUAAUCCCUGCGGGGGAAAGAUUUAUCGCUAAUGGAUGAGCCUAUGUUAGAUUAGCUAGUUGGUGGGGUAAUAGCCUACCAAGGCUACGAUCUAUAGCUGGUCUGAGAGGAUGAUCAGCCACACUGGAACUGAGACACGGUCCAGACUCCUACGGGAGGCAGCAGUGGGGAAUAUUGGACAAUGGGCGCAAGCCUGAUCCAGCUAUGCCGCGUGAGUGAAGAAGGCCUUAGGGUUGUAAAACUCUUUCAGCAGGGAAGAUAAUGACGGUACCUGC
This 426-nucleotide ribosomal RNA is filed under the name uncultured Anaplasma sp. Its description in RNAcentral is "bacterial SSU rRNA". It matches the Rfam family "Bacterial small subunit ribosomal RNA", at positions 29 to 482 of the family's 1533-position model. Lineage: Bacteria; Pseudomonadati; Pseudomonadota; Alphaproteobacteria; Rickettsiales; Anaplasmataceae. The record is from RNAcentral.